CCUACGGGAUGCUGCAGUGGGGAAUAUUGGACAAUGGGCGAAAGCCUGAUCCAGCCAUGCCGCGUGUGUGAAGAAGGCCUUCGGGUUGUAAAGCACUUUCAGUGGGGAAGAAAGCCUUGGGGCUAAUACCCUCGAGGAAGGACAUCACCCACAGAAGAAGCACCGGCUAACUCCGUGCCAGCAGCCGCGGUAAUACGGAGGGUGCGAGCGUUAAUCGGAAUUACUGGGCGUAAAGCGCGCGUAGGCGGUCUGAUAAGCCGGUUGGGAAAGCCCCGGGCCCAACCUGGGAACGGCAUCCGGAACGGUCAGGCUAGAGUGCAGGAGAGGAAGGUAGAAUUCCCGGUGUAGCGGUGAAAUGGGUAGAGAUCGGGAGGAAUACCAGUGGCGAAGGCGGCCUUAUGGACUGACACUGACGCUGAGGUGCGAAAGCGUGGGUAGCAAACAGGAUUAGAUACCCCGGUAGUC
This 465-nucleotide ribosomal RNA is filed under the name Vreelandella stevensii. RNAcentral describes it as "partial 16S ribosomal RNA". It matches the Rfam family "Bacterial small subunit ribosomal RNA", at positions 338 to 795 of the family's 1533-position model. Lineage: Bacteria; Pseudomonadati; Pseudomonadota; Gammaproteobacteria; Oceanospirillales; Halomonadaceae. The record is from RNAcentral.